RNAcentral lists this ribosomal RNA (405 nucleotides) under uncultured bacterium. Its description in RNAcentral is "bacterial SSU rRNA". It matches the Rfam family "Bacterial small subunit ribosomal RNA", at positions 509 to 916 of the family's 1533-position model. The record is from RNAcentral.
CAGCAGCCGCGGUAAUACGUAGGUGGCGAGCGUUGUCCGGAUUUAUUGGGUUUAAAGGGUGCGUAGGCGUCCUGACAAGUUUUAGGUGAAAUGCCCAGGCUCAACCUGGGAGCUGCCUGAAAAACUGUUGGGAUUGAGUACAGACGAGGUAGGCGGAAUUGACGGUGUAGCGGUGAAAUGCAUAGAUAUCGUCAGGAACACCGAUAGCGUAGGCAGCUUACUAGACUGUAACUGACGCUGAGGCACGAAAGUGUGGGGAUCAAACAGGAUUAGAUACCCUGGUAGUCCACACUGUAAACGUUGAUGACUCGCUGUGUGCGAUAUACAGUACGCGGCUAAGCGAAAGCGAUAAGUCAUCCACCUGGGGAGUACGCCGGCAACGGUGAAACUCAAAGGAAUUGACGG